UACGGAGGGUGCAAGCGUUGUUCGGAAUCACUGGGCGUAAAGCGCGUGUAGGCGGUUGGGGAAGUCAGAUGUGAAAGCCCCGGGCUCAACUCGGGAAUUGCAUCUGAAACUGCCCUGCUAGAGUCCCGGAGAGGAAGGCGGAACUCCCAGUGUAGGGGUGAAAUCCGUAGAUACUGGGAAGAACACCGGCGGCGAAGGCGGCCUUCUGGACGGUGACUGACGCUGAGACGCGAAAGCGUUGGGAGCAAACACG
RNAcentral lists this ribosomal RNA (253 nucleotides) under uncultured bacterium. RNAcentral's name for it is "partial 16S ribosomal RNA". It matches the Rfam family "Bacterial small subunit ribosomal RNA", at positions 524 to 776 of the family's 1533-position model. The record is from RNAcentral.